AACGCACGAGACCUGCGGACCUGCGGAGGGAUCAUCACUAGAUCAGUUGACCUUUUAGGUCAAUUAUAACUUGUGCACUGUUAUUAUUAUAUUUUGGCAGUAUAAUUUUUAAAUACUGCCAAACUUGAAACUUUUUUAACUAUUAAUAUAGUUUUAUAUGUUUAAAAAGCUUUGCUUUGUUAAUGUUUUUUUUUAUAUUAAUAAUAAAAAAAUAAUACAACUUUCAGCAACGGAUCUCUA
Molecule: unclassified non-coding RNA, 240 nt
Filed under: soil metagenome
Description: partial contains 5.8S ribosomal RNA, internal transcribed spacer 2, and large subunit ribosomal RNA
Source: RNAcentral